ACAAAUACCGCAACGAAAAUCUAAUUGUGAUUUAAAUCUAACUAAAUAUUAUUAUGAAAAUAAAUAAAUACAAACUUACAGAUAAACGCAAAUCCAAAUAAAUAUUUAAUUGAUCCGGAAGCGUGCGAGGCACUGCCCUAAGGCGUAUUCCCGUCCUUACGUGCAGGAUUAAUCGGAAACACCGCCCCAAGGUACGACCGGAAUUCCUCCUACUGCGAGCACGAUCGUGAGGGAGGUUGACGGAGACUCUUUCAACACCCAGCGAUAAAAACGAUCAAAUGGAGUGGAUGAGAUUAAUAAAGGAAAAAUUAAAAUUAAUUCUUGAGAAAACUAUUCUGUCAGUCAAAAGCUCUCUUGCCUCCCUUUUUUUCCCAACUGGGAGAGCUACAGUCGCACUUUAUCAUAUAUGUGAUGACAUAAUUAGAACGUUGGAGGUCCAACGUUCUUCUCGAAACGUCCGCGCGUCGGACGCGCGAACGUGCGAGUGGAGUGCGCAGAGAGCCGGUGCGCACGAUGCGCAAAACAAAACGUCUGCAAAAAUCUUCGGUUAAUAAUUUAAAAACAUAAUAAAUUAAAUAAUAAAUAAAUUAAAUAAAUAAAAGAAUAAUAAAAGUAAUUGAGAAAUUAUUGAAUUUUCUCCAACAAACCCCCACAAAAUUCAAAAUUUCGAAAUAAGAAUUAAAUACAAAAUAAAUCACCGGGUGUUUAUACUAUGCAAUAGGCGAGGUGUCUUUAAGAGACUUAACCCCACUUAGUGUAAAUAGUUUUCAUCAGAAGGAAUCGGAGUGAACCAGGUCUUGAACUACGUUCCUUUGUCCCUGACUUCAACUAUCACACACACAGAACAGAAUUCUCCGUCGCGGGUCUGUGCGUUAAUGGCCAUGCACAGUACCUUGAUUUUUCAUAAGAGCUUCUAUGGACAGCCCAUUCACAUAGCCGCGGCCACAUACGGAUACUCUUAUAUAGGUGGUUUCCUCCAGGGAUGUGUGUAGAGUCACAUCUCGCGAAAAUUAUCGCCUUGGAUCCCAUUAAGAGCUCUCAGCUCAACCUAAUCCACUACACAGAGCACUACUCACCAUAGGGAUGGGAUUGGAGCUAAAGCUCCUAUAUAAAAACUGUAGAAAGUGCUCUUUGGCCAACCUGACAGCUUGUUUUUACCACAUUGAACCUUCUUCAAGGGAUCUCCUAUCACAAAGGUUGGGUUCCCACUGCAGGAAGGCCCAUUAUGGGCAAGUCCCAUCCCCCUCGAUGAUAGUAGGACCAUAGUCCUCUUCAGGCCUUUCAUCAAGUAAUCUGCAAAAUUCUGAUCAGAUAGAUAAAACUCAAAGAGAUAAUAUUAUGAGAGGUUAGCCAUCUAACAAAUUUCUAUUUCAAUUUAAUAUAUUUGUUAACUUUAGAAUUUAUCGAUUUCAUUUACAAGUUAAACACAAAGAUAAACAAAAUGAAAACAUAAGAGCAAUUAUAAUAUCAAAAUUUAUCAAAUUGACAAAAAUGCUCCCCCCACAAUUUCUGAGAUACACUAAAAUUUAAAAUUAUGAAAUUUAAUCAUGUUAAAUAGAGUUUGAUUCAACAACAAAUAGAUACUCUAAACAAUUUAAAAAUUGAAUUUCAAUUAGAUAAUUUUGUGCAAAUAACAUAUGCAAUUAAAUAAUAUCUAUGCAGCAAUAUGCAAGCAAAAUCGCUGGGCACCAAUUUGAAAAUGCACCAACAUGAGCUCACCUAUCAACAUGUUCUAUGGAAAACAUAGCAUAGCAUAGGUAACAUCUAGCUUUCAUUUGGAUUUCACAAUUACCAAAAAUUAUAAAAUUUACCUUUCAAUGUGGCAAAAAAGAAUUCAGUACAAAAUACCUUUUUAGGAGUAUAUACUGUAGCAAUCUUCUUUUUUUCUUUUUUUUUUUAAAAAUAAUCUGUACAAUGUCAUUGUGGAAAACAAAGUAAAAUGGAUUUUACCUGAUCAUAUCAAAAAAUUCGCACACUAAAAAUUUUUUUACUGUAGCAAAAUUGUUUAAAAAAUUAAUUUUGCUGUAGCACAAAUAGUAGACAUGAAAUAAAAUGCAAACGGAUUAUAUGCAAUUAAUUUUUAAAAAUGCUAAUCCUGAUUAAUUUAACUUUGUAUGUCAAUCAUACAAAUAAGUUAUCAAACAAAAUAUAUGCAAAAUAUAUAUGUAUAUAUUUUAAUGGAUUAGCACCGUCAAAUUUAAUCACAAUCAGAUAGGGAACUACGCCUUAGAUUGUUAGAACAAAUACCGCAACGAAAAUCUAAUUGUGAUUUAAAUCUAACUAAAUAUUAUUAUGAAAAUAAAUAAAUACAAACUUACAGAUAAACGCAAAUCCAAAUAAAUAUUUAAUUGAUCCGGAAGCGUGCGAGGCACUGCCCUAAGGCGUAUUCCCGUCCUUACGUGCAGGAUUAAUCGGAAACACCGCCCCAAGGUACGACCGGAAUUCCUCCUACUGCGAGCACGAUCGUGAGGGAGGUUGACGGAGACUCUUUCAACACCCAGCGAUAAAAACGAUCAAAUGGAGUGGAUGAGAUUAAUAAAGGAAAAAUUAAAAUUAAUUCUUGAGAAAACUAUUCUGUUAGUCAAAAGCUCUCUUGCCUCCCUUUUUUUCCAACUGGGAGAGCUACAGUCGCACUUUAUCAUAUAUGUGAUGACAAAAUUAGAACGUUGGAGGU
This 2674-nucleotide long non-coding RNA is filed under the name Ananas comosus (pineapple). Its description in RNAcentral is "long non-coding RNA (ACOM_LNC025480)". The record is from RNAcentral. Lineage: Eukaryota; Viridiplantae; Streptophyta; Magnoliopsida; Poales; Bromeliaceae.